RNAcentral lists this ribosomal RNA (216 nucleotides) under uncultured bacterium. Its description in RNAcentral is "partial 16S ribosomal RNA". It matches the Rfam family "Bacterial small subunit ribosomal RNA", at positions 118 to 351 of the family's 1533-position model. The record is from RNAcentral.
UGGAUAUCUGCCUUUUGGUUCGGAAUAACCCCGGGAAACUGGGGCUAAUACCGGAUGGUUCCUUCGGGAUAAAGAUUUAUCGCCAAAAGAUGAGUCCGCGUACGAUUAGCUAGUUGGCGAGGUACUGGCUCACCAAGGCGACGAUUGUUAGCUGGUCUGAGAGGACGAUCAGCCACACUGGGACUGAGACACGGCCCAGACUCCUACGGGAGGCAG